This 1261-nucleotide ribosomal RNA is filed under the name Staphylococcus aureus. RNAcentral describes it as "bacterial SSU rRNA". It matches the Rfam family "Bacterial small subunit ribosomal RNA", at positions 117 to 1412 of the family's 1533-position model. Lineage: Bacteria; Bacillati; Bacillota; Bacilli; Caryophanales; Staphylococcaceae. The record is from RNAcentral.
GUGGAUAACCUACCUAUAAGACUGGGAUAACUUCGGGAAACCGGAGCUAAUACCGGAUAAUAUUUUGAACCGCAUGGUUCAAAAGUGAAAGACGGUCUUGCUGUCACUUAUAAUGGAUCCGCGCUGCAUUAGCUAGUUGGUAAGGUAACGGCUUACCAAGGCAACGAUGCAUAGCCGACCUGAGAGGGUGAUCGGCCACACUGGAACUGAGACACGGUCCAGACUCCUACGGGAGGCAGCAGUAGGGAAUCUUCCGCAAUGGGCGAAAGCCUGACGGAGCAACGCCCGUGAGUGAUAAGGUUUCGGAUCGUAAAACUCUGUUAUUAGGGAAGAACAUAUGUGUAAGUAACUGUGCACAUCUUGACGGUACCUAAUCAGAAAGCCACGGCUAACUACGUGCCAGCAGCCGCGGUAAUACGUAGGUGGCAAGCGUUAUCCGGAAUUAUUGGGCGUAAAGCGCGCGUAGGCGGUUUUUUAAGUCUGAUGUGAAAGCCCACGGCUCAACCGUGGAGGGUCAUUGGAAACUGGAAAACUUGAGUGCAGAAGAGGAAAGUGGAAUUCCAUGUGUAGCGGUGAAAUGCGCAGAGAUAUGGAGGAACACCAGUGGCGAAGGCGACUUUCUGGUCUGUAACUGACGCUGAUGUGCGAAAGCGUGGGGUCAAACAGGAUUAGAUACCUGGAGUCCACGCCGUAAACGAUGAGUGCUAAGUGUUAGGGGGUUUCCGCCCCUUAGUGCUGCAGCUAACGCAUUAAGCACUCCGCCUGGGGAGUACGACCGCAAGGUUGAAACUAAAGGAAUGACGGGGACCCGCACAAGCGGUGGAGCAUGUGGUUUAAUUGAAGCAACGCGAGAACCUUACCAAAUCUUGACAUCCUUUGACAACUCUAGAAUAGAGCCUUCCCUUCGGGGGACAAAGGACAGGUGGGCAUGUUGUGUCAGUCGUGUCGUGAGUGUGGGUUAAGUCCCGCAACGAGCGCAACCCUUAAUUAUUGCCAUCAUUAAGUUGCACUCUAAGUUGACUGCCGGUGACAACCGAGAGGUGGGGAUGACGUCAAAUCUCAUGCCCCUUGAUUUGGGCUACACACGUGCUACAAUGGACAUACAAAGGGCAGCGAAACCGGAGUCAAGCAAAUCCCAUAAAGUUGUUCCAGUUCGGAUGUAGUCUGCAAUCGACUACUGAAGUGGAAUCGCUGUAAUCUGAUCGCAUGCUCGUGAAUACUUCCCGGGUCUUGUACACACCGCCCUCACACCACGAGAGUU